This 496-nucleotide ribosomal RNA is filed under the name uncultured bacterium. Its description in RNAcentral is "partial 16S ribosomal RNA". It matches the Rfam family "Bacterial small subunit ribosomal RNA", at positions 28 to 507 of the family's 1533-position model. The record is from RNAcentral.
GAUGAACGCUGGCGGCGUGCCUAAUACAUGCAAGUCGAGCGAACAGAUGAGGAGCUUGCUCCUCUGACGUUAGCGGCGGACGGGUGAGUAACACGUGGAUAACCUACCUAUAAGACUGGGAUAACUUCGGGAAACCGGAGCUAAUACCGGAUAAUAUAUUGAACCGCAUGGUUCAAUAGUGAAAGACGGUUUUGCUGUCACUUAUAGAUGGAUCCGCGCCGCUUUAGCUAGUUGGUAAGGUAACGGCUUCCAAGGCAACGAUGCGUAGCCGACCUGAGAGGGUGAUCGGCCACACUGGAACUGAGACACGGUCCAGACUCCUACGGGAGGCAGCAGUAGGGAAUCUUCCGCAAUGGGCGAAAGCCUGACGGAGCAACGCCGCGUGAGUGAUGAAGGUCUUCGGAUCGUAAAACUCUGUUAUUAGGGAAGAACAAAUGUGUAAGUAACUAUGCACGUCUUGACGGUACCUAAUCAGAAAGCCACGGCUAACUACGUG